AUGUCUGGGAUUUUGGCUGGGAGGGCACAUCCUACCAGGAAUGGGCGGCUGAGGGAGCGUCGGCCAUUUUCCCCUCACGUUUUCCCGCUCUUUUUCCCCUCACGUUUUCCCGCUCUUUUUCCCCUCACAUUUUCUCUUUUUCCCCUCACGUUUCCCACUCUUUUCCCCUCACUUCUUCCCCUCAUGUUUCCUUCUUUUUCCCUCACGCUCCCGUUCUUUUUCCCUUCACAUUUCCCGCCCAUUUCCCCUCACAUUUUCCGCCCUUUUUCCCCUCACGUUUCCCGCUCUUUUUCCCCUCACGUUUCCUGCUCUUUUUCCCCUCACAUUUCCCACCCUUUCCCCCUCGUUUCCUGCUUUUUCUCUUCACAUUCCUGCUCUUUUCCCCUCACAUUUCCCACUCUUUCCCCCUCGUUUCCUGCUUUUUCCCCUCACAUUUCCUGCCCUUUUCCCCUCACGUUUCCCACCCAUUUCCCCUCAUGUUUCCUGCUUUUUCCCCGCACACUCCCGCUCUUUUCCCCUCACGUUUUCCGCUCUUUUCCCCUCACGUUUCCCUCUCUUUUUCCCCUCACAUCCCCGUUAUUUUUCCCCUCACGUUUCCCGCUCUUUUCCCCUCACGUUUCCCGCUCUUUUUCCCCUCACAUUCCUGUUAUUUUUCCCCUCACAUUUUCCCGCUCUUUUCCCCUCACAUUUCCCACUCUUUCCCCCUCGUUUCCUGCUUUUUCCCCUCACAUUUCCUGCCCUUUUCCCCUCACGUUUCCCACUCUUUUCCCCUCACUUCUUCCCCUCAUGUUUCCUUCUUUUUCCCCUCACGCUCCCGUUCUUUUUCCCUUCACAUUUCCCGCCCAUUUCCCCUCACAUUUUCUGCCCUCUUUCCCCUCAUGUUUCCUGCUUUUUCCCCGCACACUCCCGCUCUUUUCCCCUCACAUUCCCAUUAUUUUUCCCCUCACAUUUUCCCGCUCUUUUCCCCUCACGUUCCCACCAUUUUUCCCCUCACGUUUUCCUCUCUUUUUCCCCUCACAUCCCCGUUAUUUUUCCCCUCACAUUUUCCCGCUCUUUUUCCCCUCACGUUUCCCGCUCUUUUUCCCCCCUCACGUUUUCCACCAUUUUCCCUCAUAA
Molecule: long non-coding RNA, 1116 nt
Filed under: Cyanistes caeruleus (blue tit)
Lineage: Eukaryota; Metazoa; Chordata; Aves; Passeriformes; Paridae
Description: lncRNA (ENSCCEG00000005972.1)
Source: RNAcentral